This 250-nucleotide ribosomal RNA is filed under the name uncultured prokaryote. RNAcentral describes it as "partial 16S ribosomal RNA". It matches the Rfam family "Bacterial small subunit ribosomal RNA", at positions 524 to 773 of the family's 1533-position model. The record is from RNAcentral.
UACGUAGGGGGUGAGCGUUAUCCGGAAUUAUUGGGUGUAAAGGGCGCGUAGGCGGGGCAGCAGGUCAGUCGUGAAAUACCGAGGCUCAACUUCGGGGUUGCGAUUGAAACUGUUGUUCUUGAGUGUCGGAGAGGAAAGCGGAAUUCCUAGUGUAGCGGUGAAAUGCGUAGAUAUUAGGAGGAACACCAGUGGCGAAGGCGGCUUUCUGGACGAUAACUGACGCUGAGGCGCGAAAGUGUGGGGAGCAAAC